UACGUAGGGACCAAGCGUUGUUCGGAUUUACUGGGCGUAAAGGGCGUGUAGGCGGCGUGGUAAGUCACUUGUGAAAUCUCUGAGCUUAACUCAGAACGGCCAAGUGAUACUGCCGUGCUAGAGUGCAGAAGGGGCAAUCGGAAUUCUUGGUGUAGCGGUGAAAUGCGUAGAUAUCAAGAGGAACACCUGAGGUGAAGACGGGUUGCUGGGCUGACACUGACGCUGAGGCGCGAAAGCCAGGGGAGCAAACGGG
This 253-nucleotide ribosomal RNA is filed under the name uncultured bacterium. RNAcentral describes it as "partial 16S ribosomal RNA". It matches the Rfam family "Bacterial small subunit ribosomal RNA", at positions 524 to 776 of the family's 1533-position model. The record is from RNAcentral.